AACGAACGCUGGCGGCAUGCCUAACACAUGCAAGUCGAACGAAGCCUUCGGGCUUAGUGGCGCACGGGUGCGUAACGCGUGGGAAUCUGCCCCUUGCUUCGGAAUAACAGUUAGAAAUGACUGCUAAUACCGGAUGAAGUCUUCGGACCAAAGAUUUAUCGGCAAGGGAUGAGCCCGCGUAGGAUUAGGUAGUUGGUGGGGUAAAGGCCUACCAAGCCGACGAUCCUUAGCUGGUCUGAGAGGAUGAUCAGCCACACUGGGACUGAGACACGGCCCAGACUCCUACGGGAGGCAGCAGUGGGGAAUAUUGGACAAUGGACGCAAGUCUGAUCCAGCAAUGCCGCGUGAGUGAUGAAGGCCUUAGGGUUGUAAAGCUCUUUUACCAGGGAUGAUAAUGACAGUACCUGGAGAACAAGCUCCGGCUAACUCCGUG
RNAcentral lists this ribosomal RNA (433 nucleotides) under uncultured bacterium. Its description in RNAcentral is "partial 16S ribosomal RNA". It matches the Rfam family "Bacterial small subunit ribosomal RNA", at positions 29 to 507 of the family's 1533-position model. The record is from RNAcentral.